Molecule: ribosomal RNA, 254 nt
Filed under: uncultured bacterium
Lineage: Bacteria
Description: partial 16S ribosomal RNA
Rfam family: Bacterial small subunit ribosomal RNA
Source: RNAcentral
UACAGAGGGUGCGAGCGUUGUUCGGAAUUACUGGGCGUAAAGCGCGCGCAGGCGGCCUUUUAAGUCUCGUGGUGAAAUGCCGGGGCUCAACCCCGUGCCCGCCGGAGAUACUGGGAGGCUGGAGACAUGUAGAGGCAAGCGGAAUUCCGGGUGUAGCGGUGGAAUGCGUAGAGAUCCGGAAGAACACUGGAGGCGAAGGCGGCUUGCUGGGCAUUGUCUGACGCUGAGGCGCGAAAGCGUGGGGAGCGAACAGG